CCUACGGGAGGCAGCAGUGAGGAAUAUUGGUCAAUGGGCGCAAGCCUGAACCAGCCAAGUCGCGUGAGGGAUGACGGUCCUAUGGAUUGUAAACCUCUUUUGUCGGGGAGCAAGGCCCGCCACGUGUGGCGGGAAGGAGAGUACCCGACGAAAAAGCAUCGGCUAACUCCGUGCCAGCAGCCGCGGUAGUACGGGGGAUGCGAGCGUUAUCCGGAUUUAUUGGGGUUAAGGGGUGCGUAGGAGGAAGGUUAAGUCAGCGGUAAAAUGUCGGUGCUCAACACCGGCCUGCCGUUGAUACUGGUCUUCUUGAGUGAGCGAGAAGUAUGCGGAAUGCGUGGUGUAGCGGUGAAAUGCAUAGAUAUCACGCAGAACACCGAUGGCGAAGGCAGCAUACCGGCGCUCAACUGACGCUGAGGCACGAAAGCGUGGGGAUCGAACAGGAUUAGAUACCCUAGUAGUC
Molecule: ribosomal RNA, 460 nt
Filed under: uncultured bacterium
Lineage: Bacteria
Description: partial 16S ribosomal RNA
Rfam family: Bacterial small subunit ribosomal RNA
Source: RNAcentral